GAUGAACGCUAGCUACAGGCUUAACACAUGCAAGUCGAGGGGAAACGAUAUUGGAAGCUUGCUUCCGAUAGGCGUCGACCGGCGCACGGGUGAGUAACGCGUAGCCAACCCGCCCAUCACUUGGGGAUAACCUUGCGAAAGUAAGACUAAUACCCAAUGAUAUCUCUAGAAGACAUCUGAAAGGGAUUAAAGAUUUAUCGGUGAUGGAUGGGGAUGCGUCUGAUUAGCUUGUUGGCGGGGUAACGGCCCACCAAGGCGACGAUCAGUAGGGGUUCUGAGAGGAAGGUCCCCCACAUUGGAACUGAGACACGGUCCAAACUCCUACGGGAGGCAGCAGUGAGGAAUAUUGGUCAAUGGACGAGAGUCUGAACCUGCCAAGUAGCGUGCAGGAUGACGGCCCUAUGGGUUGUAAACUGCUUUUAUAAGGGAAUAAAGUGAGCCUCGUGAGGCUUUUUGCAUGUACCUUAUGAAUAAGGACCGGCUAAUUCCGUGCCAGCCGCCGCGGUAA
This 508-nucleotide ribosomal RNA is filed under the name uncultured bacterium. RNAcentral's name for it is "partial 16S ribosomal RNA". It matches the Rfam family "Bacterial small subunit ribosomal RNA", at positions 28 to 523 of the family's 1533-position model. The record is from RNAcentral.